RNAcentral lists this ribosomal RNA (497 nucleotides) under uncultured Comamonadaceae bacterium. RNAcentral's name for it is "bacterial SSU rRNA". It matches the Rfam family "Bacterial small subunit ribosomal RNA", at positions 1000 to 1503 of the family's 1533-position model. Lineage: Bacteria; Pseudomonadati; Pseudomonadota; Betaproteobacteria; Burkholderiales; Comamonadaceae. The record is from RNAcentral.
GGUGAAGCCUGACGAGGUAGCAAUACCAGUAUGCACAGGUGCUGCAUGGCUGUCGUCAGCUCGUGUCGUGAGAUGUUGGGUUAAGUCCCGCAACGAGCGCAACCCUUGUCAUUAGUUGCUACGAAAGGGCACUCUAAUGAGACUGCCGGUGACAAACCGGAGGAAGGUGGGGAUGACGUCAGGUCCUCAUGGCCCUUAUGGGUAGGGCUACACACGUCAUACAAUGGCCGGUACAGAGGGCUGCCAACCCGCGAGGGGGAGCUAAUCCCAGAAAACCGGUCGUAGUCCGGAUUGCAGUCUGCAACUCGACUGCAUGAAGUCGGAAUCGCUAGUAAUCGUAGAUCAGAACGCUACGGUGAAUACGUUCCCGGGCCUUGUACACACCGCCCGUCACGCCAUGGGAGUGGAUUGCACCAGAAGUAGGUAGAUUAACCGCAAGGGGAUCGCUUACCACGGUGUGUUUCAUGACUGGGGUGAAGUCGUAACAAGGUAGCCGU